This is a long non-coding RNA of Pipistrellus kuhlii (Kuhl's pipistrelle), 1380 nucleotides long. RefSeq lists it as uncharacterized. Lineage: Eukaryota; Metazoa; Chordata; Mammalia; Chiroptera; Vespertilionidae. The transcript has 2 exons. The record is from RefSeq and is a predicted model, not a curated record.
UGUAGCAGGCUAAUUUUAAAGUUGAUAAUUUUGUAUGACCUGUAAGUGGCGCUAUAAAUAUCCAAAUGGCCCUUGGCAGAAAAAAGGUUCCCCACCUCUGGUCUAAGGACACUUAUGUUUGGACUUAAGGCCUACCAGUGUUAAUCCAGAAUGAUCUCAUUUUGAGAUCCUUAAUUUAAUUACAUCUGCAAAGACCCUUUUUCCAAAUAAGGUCACAUUUACAGAUUUGUGGGGUUAGGGCAUGGACCAUCACUCAGCCCACCACAGGGGUGAAGGAGACAAGGUGCCCGGAGUACCUGAUUUGGAGAGGAGACAGGUGUUCUGGAGAGUGGCACAGCUGAAACCCUCAUGGGGCACCUACAAUAUUGCUGUUACUCUCCCUGGAAGCUGUUAGCUAGAAAUGCCAGCUCCACAGGGGAAGGUCGGCAGUGACCUGAUCAAACCUGGCUUUACCAGAGAUAAUUUACUAGACUUCAGCUCAUACCUAGUGAACCUUUAUCCAUCUGACCCACAUCGGUAUUUCUUCCGUGAGCCCUUCCUCUUCCUUUUCUCCUUCCUUGUCAGAGAUUUUCUCUCCAGUACUUUGCUUCCUUUGGUAUUGUUUUGUUUUUAUCAUGGACAGUAAAUCAAACAGAAGUAUGUAUGUUAGUAAUUCUAAUGAUUAUUAAGUAAUUCUUUGCUGCUUGUCUUUUGAGCUCCUUCAGCAGAUGAUGGUGCUGGAGCCUUGCACUGACCUCCCUUCCUAGAUUCUUGAUCUUUGGCCACCUGAUUUGGGAUUUGGGAUGUGAGUCUAGGAGCUAAUGGGACUGUACCACACAUGUGCCUUCAAAUGUUUAUAUUUCAUUUUCCUUGAUAGUGUACCUGUAUAAUAGAUAAGGGAGAGGAUGGGUCUCCUGAGACCUUGAAUUACCCACUUCCAUCAAAUAUUCCUGGUCUCCCCCAAGGUCUAGAACUUGGACCAAUAUAUAUGGUUAAAGUACUCAGUUGAAAUCCACAUAUCCCCUAAUGAUAAUAGUACUACUAAAGGUCCAGAAACCCAGUCAGCCCUUCUCCAAAUAACACUUUUAAGAUGGACAAAAAUAUUGGCAAAUCUGUAAUGUUGAGAGUAUAGGUAGAGUGAAUGACACAAAGGCUCUGGAAUCUUUGCUUAUCUUGGAAAUCAUGAUUGGGCUGCUUUUUAUAAACUGGGUCAUGGCUUCCACUGUGGCAUGAAUUUUUCCAAGUAAUAUGCUGCCUCCUUAGGCAACAUUGAGACCUGCUGAGUAAAAAUUAAUGUACACAGUUUAGUCCUAUUGGAAGGUUGAAUGGUGAAGGGGACAAGGGUUAUUAAGGGAGAUAAUAGAAAGCACCUUUAUCAAUUAAAUACAGUGAAAACAUAAA